CAACAACUUCACAAAGAAGGAAAAAAAGUAACGAAGCUCUCACUUCAUCGGAAGAACUGCUGAUCCAAAAGAAAAUCUUCAGAACCUUGUGAAUAAAAAUCUAAAUCAAGUGAGAAAUCCUUGCAAAACUUGCUUAACCUAGAUCGAUUGAAACCAAAAACAAAAGAAAAGGAAAAUAAAAAAUUGGGGCAGUAGCGAAAUUAUGAGAACAUUUAAAUACUAACCACGGCGAUCUUCCCCUCCUCCUAACCGUGGGGAUCUUCGUCUUCCCCUCUUCUCAGACUCGGGGCGAUCUUCUUCCCCUCCUCCUAACCGCGGCGAUUUUCCCCUCCUCUCGGACCCGCGUGCUCGGUGCUUCCAACUCCAAGCCCUCGCACGACACGGCCGCAUGGCUGCACAGUGCACGGCGAAUAGAAAAGGGUUAGGGACCUAGGGUUUGUGAGAACUCCUAGUG
This 454-nucleotide long non-coding RNA is filed under the name Phoenix dactylifera (date palm). RNAcentral describes it as "long non-coding RNA (PDAC_LNC002782)". Lineage: Eukaryota; Viridiplantae; Streptophyta; Magnoliopsida; Arecales; Arecaceae. The record is from RNAcentral.